Molecule: ribosomal RNA, 402 nt
Filed under: uncultured microorganism
Description: bacterial SSU rRNA
Rfam family: Bacterial small subunit ribosomal RNA
Source: RNAcentral
GAGUUUGAUCGUGGCUCAGAUUGAACGCUGGCGGCAUGCCUUACACAUGCAAGUCGAACGGCAGCAUGAUCUAGCUUGCUAGAUUGAUGGCGAGUGGCGAACGGGUGAGUAAUACAUCGGAACGUGCCCUGUAGUGGGGGAUAACUAGUCGAAAGAUUAGCUAAUACCGCAUACGACCUGAGGGUGAAAGUGGGGGACCGCAAGGCCUCAUGCUAUAGGAGCGGCCGAUGUCUGAUUAGCUAGUUGGUGGGGUAAAGGCCCACCAAGGCGACGAUCAGUAGCUGGUCUGAGAGGACGAUCAGCCACACUGGGACUGAGACACGGCCCAGACUCCUACGGGAGGCAGCAGUGGGGAAUUUUGGACAAUGGGCGAAAGCCUGAUCCAGCAAUGCCGGGUGUGUG